AGUGAACGCUGGCGGUAGGCCUAACACAUGCAAGUCGAACGGCAGCACAGUAAGAGCUUGCUCUUACGGGUGGCGAGUGGCGGACGGGUGAGGAAUACAUCGGAAUCUACUUUUUCGUGGGGGAUAACGUAGGGAAACUUCCGCUAAUACCGCAUACGACCUACGGGUGAAAGCAGGGGAUCUUCGGACCUUGCGCGAUUGAAUGAGCCGAUGUCGGAUUGGCUAGUUGGCGGGGUAAAGGCCCACCAAGGCGACGAUCCGUAGCUGGUCUGAGAGGAUGAUCAGCCACACUGGAACUGAGACACGGUCCAGACUCCUACGGGAGGCAGCAGUGGGGAAUAUUGGACAAUGGGCGCAAGCCUGAUCCAGCCAUACCGCGUGGGUGAAGAAGGCCUUCGGGUUGUAAAGCCCUUUUGUUGGGAAAGAAAAGCAGCAGGUUAAUACCCCGCUGUCCCGACGGUACCCAAAGAAUAAGCACCGGCUAACUUCGUG
This 492-nucleotide ribosomal RNA is filed under the name uncultured bacterium. Its description in RNAcentral is "partial 16S ribosomal RNA". It matches the Rfam family "Bacterial small subunit ribosomal RNA", at positions 29 to 507 of the family's 1533-position model. The record is from RNAcentral.